Molecule: ribosomal RNA, 212 nt
Filed under: uncultured Planctomycetota bacterium
Lineage: Bacteria; Pseudomonadati; Planctomycetota
Description: uncultured planctomycete partial 16S ribosomal RNA
Rfam family: Bacterial small subunit ribosomal RNA
Source: RNAcentral
UUGCUUGACUAAGGCUCCGGAGGAAGCCACGGCUAACUCUGUGCCAGCAGCCGCGGUAAUACAGAGGCGGCAAGCGUUGUUCGGAAUUAUUGGGCGUAAAGAGCACGUAGGCGGGUAUGUAAGUCGGUUGUGAAAGCCUUCCGCUCAACCGGAAAACAACCUCCGAUACUGCAUGGCUUGAUUGCGGGAGGGGAGAGUGGAACUUCUGUUGG